CCCUUAGAUGUUCUGGGCUGCACGCGCGCUACACUGAUGCACUCAACGAGUUUACGACCUUGCCCGAUAGGGUUGGGUAAUCUUUUUAAAAUGCAUCGUGAUGGGGAUAGAUUAUUGAAAUUAUUAAUCUUCAACGAGGAAUUCCUAGUAAGCGCGAGUCAUCAGCUCGUGCUGAUUACGUCCCUGCCCUUUGUACACACCGCCCGUCGCUCCUACCGAUUGAGUGCUCAGGUGAAUAAUUCGGACUGCAGCAAUGUUUGGAUCCCGAACGUUGCAGCGGAAAGUUUAGUGAACCUUAUCACUUAGAGGAAGGAGAAGUCGUAACA
RNAcentral lists this ribosomal RNA (326 nucleotides) under uncultured eukaryote. Its description in RNAcentral is "partial 18S ribosomal RNA". It matches the Rfam family "Eukaryotic small subunit ribosomal RNA", at positions 1470 to 1796 of the family's 1831-position model. The record is from RNAcentral.